Molecule: long non-coding RNA, 221 nt
Organism: Xenia sp. Carnegie-2017
Lineage: Eukaryota; Metazoa; Cnidaria; Anthozoa; Malacalcyonacea; Xeniidae
Exons: 3
Source: RefSeq, a predicted model, not a curated record
GGAAAACACUGUUGUUGAUUGUAACUUUCAUGGUGCUUACUUAAAGGUUCCUUGUAGAAAAGAAUGGCUGAAUUUUCAGAUGAAUCUCAAAAAAAUAUUGCACCGAGAAUAGCUGUGCAAAUUAGCCCGACGUAUUAUGUUGUUAUGGGUAAUAAGAAUUCGGAAAUGCUGACUGAUGCAAUUACUGAAGCUUGUCGAAGUGGAUAUCAUGUUCUCAGUGA